AAGUAUGUUGACAGGUAAACGUGUUAGCAGGUAUACAUGUUGACAGGUAAACGUGUUAGCAGGUAAACAUGUUGACAGGUAAACGUGUUGACAGGUAAACAUGUUGGCAGGUAAACAUGUUGGCAGGUAAUCAUGUUUGCAGGUAAACGUGUUGGCAGGUAAGCAUGUUGGCAGGUAAACGCGUUUGCAGGUAAGUAUGUUGGCAGGUAAACAUGUUGGCAGGUAAACGUGUUUGCAGGUAAACAUGUUUGCAGGUAAACGUGUUUGCAGGUAAACGUGUUGGCAGGUAAACAUGUUGGCAGGUAAAUGUGUUUGCAGGUAAGCGUGUUUGCAGGUAAUCAUGUUGGCAGGUAAAUGUGUUUGCAGGUAAGCGUGUUUGCAGGUAAACGUGUUGGCAGGUAAGCAUGUUGGCAGGUAAAUGUGUUUGCAGGUAAGCAUGUUUGCAGGUAAGUAUGUUGGCAGGUAAACAUGUUGGCAGGUAAACGUGUUUGCAGGUAAGCAUGUUUGCAGGUAAACGCGUUUGCAGGUAAGUAUGUUGGCAGGUAAACAUGU
Long non-coding RNA from Melanotaenia boesemani (Boeseman's rainbowfish), 552 nucleotides. RefSeq lists it as uncharacterized. The record is from RefSeq and is a predicted model, not a curated record. The transcript has 3 exons. Lineage: Eukaryota; Metazoa; Chordata; Actinopteri; Atheriniformes; Melanotaeniidae.